GAAAAAAAACACGGAUACAGCUCUCCUACCCCACGUCGGGUCAAAUCGAAUGCGGAUCUGGCGAACAGAAAAUUGUCUACACCGUGAUAGACUCGUGGAUUACCGUCUCUCUCGUCCUUCAGUUUUGGCUUACAACCUACUUAUCCUCUUCUUCUCACAAAAGUCUUCCGCAUCUCCACCUUCCUCCGGCGAUCUCUUGCCCAGCCACGGCGGAGAUGGUGCCCAAGCGUGUAUUCAUGGCCAUGUGACAUGGGGAAAGAGAAGGCGGUCGCCGUGAAGGGACCGAGGCUUAGGCCGUGCAUGUGCCCAUGAGACUACAGCGCAUAUGCGAGGGGGCUGAUUCCUUAGGCGUCCAUGGCAUGAACCUUGGUUUAUGCUUCAAGAUCUAAAGCAAUCAUGACAUCGGUAUGAACAUAAAUCGCCCAACUUAAAUGAGAUUCGCCCUGACGGAGCUUUGAAUUAACUCUUUCCUGAUGAACUCCGGCGAGCUCUUUUGCAUGAAGCCGACGUGGCCGUGAGGAUGUCCGUGAGCCGUGCAUCUUCCUCUCGGAAUUCCUCUCCUCCUCUGGAAAGUCCUGCCCAACUCCACAUAGCUUCCUCCGGUGAGCUCUUGCUCAGCCACGGCCGAGGCGACCGGGAUGAAAGUCCCAAGGCAUAUGCUUGACGUUCAUGUGACAUGGAGAAUGAGAGGCUGUGCCGGACUAUGUAUGUUGGUUGUCCUCUGGACCUCUUUCUUCUAGUGAAUCCCCGGCGAGUCCUGUUCAUGCCCGGCGAGGUGGCUGAGAUGGUGUCCGAGGCAUAGGCCCGUGCAUGUGCCUCUGGGGCUACGGCGCGCAAGUCACGAGGCUGAAUCCUCAAGUGUUCAAUGGGACGAACCAGAGUUUAUGGAGACGGGAGAGGAGGCACAGUGGUCCAAGUCAAUAAUCAACCGUUGCCACGGCAACUCACGGCUUGAAGAGGCUCGACAGAUGCAUGAUUAGUUCUUGUUCCAAGAUAUUUGCCUUGUCAAGCCAAUUCAGGGAUGUAAGUCUGUUGGCAAAGACGCUCCUUCUGGAAGCCUGCCCGAUGAACAACUUGAGGCUGAGUGCAGAGAGGUGCUGCGUGUCUCUUAUCUGAUUCCAGGCCACCCGGUGCCUGACCAUGGAUUGAUUGAAACACGCGUGGGUGAUGUCACGAUGUGCAUACUGAGUGGCUAAUUGAAGAUGGCAAAUGUUCUGCUAUCUGGUCUCCGUGGAGCAAAACAGCUGGGGCAGAACUUCAGAUCUGCAUGCAGGUCUCUUUCAUCAGGACAAUUGGUCGAGCCCGGCUAUGUCUUCGGUCGUAAAUGUUUUGGGCCAGAUUACGGGGUUACCACCUCUGUUGGUCAAUAUGGACUGCCCAAGUCUGUGGACUGGAGAAAAGUCCCAUGGCUUAAAAUCCCAGUGAAAGAUCAGCGUGGCUGUGGUAACUGCUAUAUUCAGGCAUCUCUUGUUGGUAUUGGGAGUCUUCAUUCCAUCAUAACUGGAAUAAACGUCGAACUUUCUAGCCAGCAUGUUCUUGAUGCGAAUACUAUAACUAAUUCUGGAUGCAUGGGAGGCACAAUACCAAAGGUCUUCGACUUUGUCAUGAGGGGUGGAGUAGUCCUAGAAUCUGCUUAUCCAUAUACUGGGAAGAGGGGCUUUUGCCAGGAUAUUAAGGCUAAAGGUCUUACUAUUGAGGGUUGGGCACAAGUCGCUCCAGCAGAAGAAGCUCUCAUGUAUGCUGUGGCCCAUCAGCCAGUUGCCGUUGGAGUAGCUGCUGGGACAGAGUUUGAAAAUUAUCAAUAUGGCGUUAUGAAUGUCCCAGUAGACCAUGGAAUUUUAAAUCAUGCAAUGUUAUUGAUUGGAUAUAAUGCCACUUCUUGGCUACUUCUGAAUUCAUGGAGUGAGGCAUGGGGCAUUAAAGGUGCUUGUCGGAUCCUGAGGAAAUCGCCAAAUUCUGAUGGAUCUAUUGGAAUUUUAUCUAGGGCCUAUCUCCCCCUAAAUCCAUCUUUCACAACUGUCAGAACGAGAACAGAAAGUUGCCCUUGUUAUUGGUCCAGGACGGUGAGAAAUCUCCUUGAACGAAUGGUGCCAAGACAGAUAACAGAGCACUUUUUGCCGAAGUUUAUGGCCGUGGAUAAGUGCUGGAUUACUGUUAGUUACCUUUAUGCAUGAUUGUGGAUUGGACCACUAGUAUUUCAUACGAUGUGCUAGGAGCUCUCGUAAUUCGACAUUUGUUUCAAGUUGGAGUCUGGUUUGGCCUGUGUUGGCACAUUUUGGCAAAGUUGGACUUUGGUUUGGCCUAUGUAGACUGAGUUUUUGCUGCUUGGUAUGUGGUGCAGUGUAUGAUCCUUCGUGAUCAGGUUGUAAUAUUCUGGGAGUCGAUCCUUGCUAGUAGUUUGUUUAUGAUCUGGACCAUGUGGUUUCUAUAAUGGAAUUCUAAAGGCUUCUCUUUCAUUAAAGUAAAAAGAAAUGUGGUUUCU
This 2482-nucleotide ribosomal RNA is filed under the name Triticum aestivum (bread wheat). Its description in RNAcentral is "partial small subunit ribosomal RNA". Lineage: Eukaryota; Viridiplantae; Streptophyta; Magnoliopsida; Poales; Poaceae. The record is from RNAcentral.